This 460-nucleotide ribosomal RNA is filed under the name uncultured bacterium. RNAcentral's name for it is "partial 16S ribosomal RNA". It matches the Rfam family "Bacterial small subunit ribosomal RNA", at positions 338 to 795 of the family's 1533-position model. The record is from RNAcentral.
CCUACGGGGUGCUGCAGUGAGGAAUAUUGGUCAAUGGACGAGAGUCUGAACCAGCCAAGUAGCGUGAAGGAUGACUGCCCUAUGGGUUGUAAACUUCUUUUAUAUGGGAAUAAAAUGUUACACGUGUGGGAUUUUGUAUGUACCAUAUGAAUAAGGAUCGGCUAACUCCGUGCCAGCAGCCGCGGUAAUACGGAGGAUCCGAGCGUUAUCCGGAUUUAUUGGGUUUAAAGGGAGCGUAGGUGGAUUGUUAAGUCAGUUGUGAAAGUUUGCGGCUCAACCGGAAAAUUGCAGUUGAAACUAGCAGUCUUGAGUACAGUAGAGGUGGGCGGAAUUCGUGGUGUAGCGGUGAAAUGCUUAGAUAUCACGAAGAACUCCGAUUGCGAAGGCAGUUCACUGGACUGCAACUGACACUGAGGCUCGAAAGUGUGGGUAUCAAACAGGAUUAGAUACCCGGGUAGUC